This 65-nucleotide transfer RNA is filed under the name Cochabamba sp. REN-2018. Its description in RNAcentral is "tRNA-Ala". Lineage: Eukaryota; Metazoa; Arthropoda; Insecta; Coleoptera; Chrysomelidae. The record is from RNAcentral.
AGGAUAAUAGUUAAUUAUAACAUUUAAUUUGCAUUUAAAAAGUAUUGUAUAAACAAUUUAUUUUA